UAGAUACCCCGGUAGUCCACGCCGUAAACGAUGAGAACUAGAUGUUGGUUUCAUAAAAGAGAUUAGUAUCGUAGCUAACGCGUUAAGUUCUCCGCCUGGGGAGUACGGCCGCAAGGUUAAAACUCAAAAGAAUUGACGGGGGCCCGCACAAGCGGUGGAGCAUGUGGUUUAAUUCGAUGCAACGCGAAGAACCUUACCAUCCCUUGACAUCCAGAGAAUCUGUUAGAAAUAGUAGAGUGCCUUCGGGAACUCUGAGACAGGUGCUGCAUGGCUGUCGUCAGCUCGUGUCGUGAGAUGUUGGGUUAAGUCCCGCAACGAGCGCAACCCUUAUCUUUAGUUGCCAGCACGUAAUGGUGGGGACUCUAAAGAGACUGCCGGUGACAAGCCGGAGGAAGGUGGGGACGACGUCAAGUCAUCAUGGCCCUUACGGGAUGGGCUACACACGUGCUACAAUGGGCAGUACAAAUGGAUGCGAAGCCGCGAGGUGGAGCCAAUCUAAGAAAGCUGUUCGUAGUCCGGAUUGGAGUCUGCAACUCGACUCCAUGAAGUUGGAAUCGCUAGUAAUCGUAGAUCAGAAUGCUACGGUGAAUACGUUCCCGGGCCUUGUACACACCGCCCGUCACACCAUGGGAGUGGGUUGCAAAAGAAGUGGGUAGACUAACCUUCGGGGGGUCGCUCACCACUUUGUGAUUCAUGACUGGGGUGAAGUCGUAACAAGGUA
RNAcentral lists this ribosomal RNA (721 nucleotides) under uncultured bacterium. RNAcentral's name for it is "bacterial SSU rRNA". It matches the Rfam family "Bacterial small subunit ribosomal RNA", at positions 779 to 1498 of the family's 1533-position model. The record is from RNAcentral.